GUACUCGCUUCGGCGGUACAUAUACUAAAAUUGGAACGAUACAGAGAAGAUUAGUAUGGCCCCUGCGCAAGGAUGUCGAGAUUCGCGGAGAGCGGGCUAUUUAU
Small nuclear RNA from Schistocerca cancellata (South American locust), 104 nucleotides. The record is from RefSeq and is a predicted model, not a curated record. NCBI's taxonomy places the organism in Eukaryota, Metazoa, Arthropoda, Insecta, Orthoptera, Acrididae.